This 1213-nucleotide long non-coding RNA is filed under the name Homo sapiens (human). RNAcentral describes it as "non-protein coding lnc-NTMT1-6:1". Lineage: Eukaryota; Metazoa; Chordata; Mammalia; Primates; Hominidae. The record is from RNAcentral.
AGAGCCUAGGCAGCUCCGAAGCAAUAGAGUGUAUUCCUCCCAGGCUGCAGGCUGGCAGUCCGAGAUCAGGGUGCUGGCAUGGUCAGGUUCCCGUGAGGGCCCUCCUCCGGGUUGCACACUGCUGGCCUCUUGCGGUAUCCGCACAAGGAGGAAGGGGCAAGGCCUUUCUGGGACCUCUUUUUCUUUUAUUUUAUUUCUUUUUUUUUUUUUUUUAGACAAAAUCUUGCUCUGUUGCCCAGGCUGGAGUGCAGUGGCAUGAUCUCGGCUCACUGCAACCUCCGCAUCUUGGGUUCAAGUUAUUCUCCUGCUUCAGCCUCCCCAGUAGCUAGGAUUGCAGGUGCCCACCACCAUGCCCAGCUAAUUUUUGUAUUUUUAGUAGAGAUGGGUUUCGCCAUGUUGGCCAGGCUGGUCUCAAACUCCUGACCUCAGGUGAUCCACCCACCUCGGCCUCCCAAAGUGCUGGGAUUACGGGCGUGAGUCACAGCGCCCGGCCUCGGGCCUCUUUUAUAAGGGCAGGAAUCCCACUUGUGAGGGCUCCACCCUCAUGACCUGAUCACCCCUCAACGGCCCCACCUCCUCAAACCAUCACAUCAGACCUGGGGUUCCAGCAUAUGAAUUUUGGGGGGACACGUUCAGUCCAUAACAGAGCUGAAUGAGCCGCCUGCAGAAUGGCAAUCGGCCCGUGGGGCAGCUGCCAUCCCUGGAGCCCCACUUGGGGCUGGCUUCCCUUGGCCCUGCAUCUACAGGGCUCCCUAGCUCCUGGCUCCCUCCUCUCCCUCCCACCAGGCUCCUGCCUGGAGCCAGCGCCCUCUUCCCCACUCCAGUCGUGGGUCCUGCCCACCAGCCUUGAGGCUUCCAGCUCCUUCCGGACCCUGUGCACCUGCCCAGUUCCACCCUCUCCAAAUAAACGCCUCUCCUUCCUUGACCUUGCCCUGAUCCUCCCUGCUCCGAGGUGCCCCAUGUGCGGCAGGAAGAAGCAGCCUCCACAGGACUGCGCUCAGCGGGAGACGGGGCUUCCCCGUGAAGAGGUGCUGAGUGCGAAUGCCCACUCCAACACCUGGUCACUGUGUGAUCUUGAGAAAGAGUUGAGCCUCUCUGGGCCCUGGCUUCCCCAACAACCAAAGGCUGUACAGAGAGCGGCUUAGGAGAGAGCUCCUGUGUGCGCCGCCGAGGGCUCUGCUGGCUCAGGACAUCUGUAGGACCAGUUCCAGCU